CUGGUGUCAGCCGCCGCGGUAAUACCAGCACCCCGAGUGGUCGGGACGUUUAUUGGGCCUAAAGCAUCCGUAGCCGGUUCUACAAGUCUUCCGUUAAAUCCACCUGCUUAACAGAUGGGCUGCGGAAGAUACUAUAGAGCUAGGAGGCGGGAGAGGCAAGCGGUACUCGAUGGGUAGGGGUAAAAUCCGUUGAUCCAUUGAAGACCACCAGUGGCGAAGGCGGCUUGCCAGAACGCGCUCGACGGUGAGGGAUGAAAGCUGGGGGAGCAAACCGGAUUAGAUACCCGGGUAGUCCCAGCUGUAAACGAUGCAGACUCGGUGAUGAGUUGGCUUAUUGCUAACUCAGUGCCGCAGGGAAGCCGUUAAGUUUGCCGCCUGGGGAGUUCGAAAAGGAAGACUGAAACUUAAAG
Molecule: ribosomal RNA, 410 nt
Filed under: uncultured Nitrososphaerota archaeon
Lineage: Archaea; Thermoproteati; Nitrososphaerota
Description: bacterial SSU rRNA
Rfam family: Archaeal small subunit ribosomal RNA
Source: RNAcentral